UCCACUCAGUACUGUAAGUCUCUCUGGAUAAGAAAGUCUGCUAAAUGACAAAAA
Salmo salar (Atlantic salmon) is the source of this 54-nucleotide non-coding RNA. Lineage: Eukaryota; Metazoa; Chordata; Actinopteri; Salmoniformes; Salmonidae. The record is from Rfam.